Molecule: ribosomal RNA, 484 nt
Filed under: uncultured bacterium
Lineage: Bacteria
Description: partial 16S ribosomal RNA
Rfam family: Bacterial small subunit ribosomal RNA
Source: RNAcentral
AUUGGACGCUGGCGGCAGGCCUAACACAUGCAAGUCGAGCGGAUGAAGGGAUCUUGCUCCUGGAUUCAGCGGCGGACGGGUGAGUAAUGCCUAGGAAUCUGCCUGGUAGUGGGGGAUAACGUCCGUAAACGGGCGCUAAUACCGCAUACGUCCUGAGGGAGAAAGUGGGGGAUCUUCGGACCUCACGCUAUCAGAUGAGCCUAGGUCGGAUUAGCUAGUUGGUGGGGUAAAGGCCUACCAAGGCGACGAUCCGUAACUGGUCUGAGAGGAUGAUCAGUCACACUGGAACUGAGACACGGUCCAGACUCCUACGGGAGGCAGCAGUGGGGAAUAUUGGACAAUGGGCGAAAGCCUGAUCCAGCCAUGCCGCGUGUGUGAAGAAGGUCUUCGGAUUGUAAAGCACUUUAAGUUGGGAGGAAGGGCAGUAAGUUAAUACCUUGCUGUUUUGACGUUACCAACAGAAUAAGCACCGGCUAACUUCGUG